UUUUAUUAAUCUGUUCCCAUACCUAGUUCUAUCUGUAAAACAUGGCAUGACUCAGAACAGUCUUAUAAGUAAAUGAAAAGAAAUAUUAAAAGUUUUGUAAAGAAAUAAUACAAUGAAACAAAUCUAUGCAGAGAAGAAAAUGGAGAGAAUCCAAAUGAAGUCCUGAAGUUUUUCUGUGUGAUUUUGGAACUUAAACAGACUUGAAAGGACAGAGGCAGAACUCCUGGAGUCUCUACAAGUGUUUCCUGAGCACAAAACAUCCUCUGUGUCCACACAGCCAGUGCACAUCCUGAGAAGAUGGAGAAAUGCAGCAGGAACAUGGGAUCCCACUGCUUCCAGGAACACCCUUAGGGUGUUUGGGACACUGUCUUCCUAUGAACCCUUCCUGUGUUGAAGCCACAAUAAGACCUCUCAGAAUUUUUCAGUGCAUUUCCAUAAAAUCAUCAAGAAUGGAAUGAGAGUUCAGCUAUUACUGUGCCUCUUCAAAACUCAGCUGUAAAAAUUUAGUAGAUAAAAGAAGAGGAAAAAAAAGCUUAAAAUCUGGGUUUCAUUCCCAGCACCCACAGGAUGGCUCAUAAAUAUCUGGAACUCCAACCCUGGUGGAUAUGAUGCCCUCUUCUGGUCUCCUCCUCCUCACUGCAUACAUGUGGUGCACAUCAUACAUUUCAAGGCCCCAACUGGAGAAUGCUACCAUCAACAGGGGAUGGGUCUGCUUUCUAGGAGCAAAUAUGGCAUGACCUGGUGACCAACCUACCAGGCACAGGGUGCUUCUGAUGUCAGAAGACUGACUUCUCAAAAAGCCUGUGUAGCCAAUAACUGGCCUGCAGAGGUAUCUGCAUUCUCCAGGUCUUCUCUAAUGUGUUUCUUCUAAAUAGAAACACUGGCAGCAUCAAUAAUCCCUAUCCACUCUGACGAAUGAACUCACCCAUCAUAGUCAAUAGGCCUUCCACUAUAUAAGUGGUUGCUCACAUGAAAUAAAACUGUUCCUGUCCCCUGAAA
Apodemus sylvaticus (European woodmouse) is the source of this 999-nucleotide long non-coding RNA. RefSeq lists it as uncharacterized. The transcript is spliced from 5 exons. Lineage: Eukaryota; Metazoa; Chordata; Mammalia; Rodentia; Muridae. The record is from RefSeq and is a predicted model, not a curated record.